This 497-nucleotide ribosomal RNA is filed under the name uncultured bacterium. Its description in RNAcentral is "partial 16S ribosomal RNA". It matches the Rfam family "Bacterial small subunit ribosomal RNA", at positions 28 to 507 of the family's 1533-position model. The record is from RNAcentral.
GAUGAACGCUGGCGGCGUGCCUAAUACAUGCAAGUCGAGCGAACAGACGAGGAGCUUGCUCCUCUGACGUUAGCGGCGGACGGGUGAGUAACACGUGGAUAACCUACCUAUAAGACUGGGAUAACUUCGGGAAACCGGAGCUAAUACCGGAUAAUAUAUUGAACCGCAUGGUUCAAUAGUGAAAGACGGUUUUGCUGUCACUUAUAGAUGGAUCCGCGCCGCAUUAGCUAGUUGGUAAGGUAACGGCUUACCAAGGCGACGAUGCGUAGCCGACCUGAGAGGGUGAUCGGCCACACUGGAACUGAGACACGGUCCAGACUUCUACGGGAGGCAGCAAUAGGGAAUCUUCCGCAAUGGGCGAAAGCCUGACGGAGCAACGCCGCGUGAGUGAUGAAGGUCUUCGGAUCGUAAAACUCUGUUAUUAGGGAAGAACAAAUGUGUAAGUAACUAUGCACGUCUUGACGGUACCUAAUCAGAAAGCCACGGCUAACUACGUG